This 293-nucleotide long non-coding RNA is filed under the name Homo sapiens (human). RNAcentral's name for it is "HSALNT0382333". The record is from RNAcentral. Lineage: Eukaryota; Metazoa; Chordata; Mammalia; Primates; Hominidae.
AGCUGUGGGGAAGAGCAUGAAGACUGAGGAGGGGUGUGAAGAAAUGCCCCCCAACUGCUGAGAUCUGGCUCCUCACUGGGCAUGAACAGGUACACACCGAGAGGACACAGGACAUGUGUCUGCCUAGACAGGCACAGGAGGGCUACAAGUGGCAUGCUUUGUAAUAAACCUCAAACUGGGAGCUGCCCAGAUGCCGAUCCAGAGGAAAAUGGAUAAACAGUGGCAUAUUCACAAAAGGGACUACGUACAGCAGUAAACACCAACCAUUAAAUAAACUCCAACACAAACUCCAA